GCAGGAUAUGAGGCCGCAAGUUGUGGCUUGGAUGGACUGUAAUUUAAUUUUUUUCUCUCUCUCUCUUCCCCCACCUCUGUGUGAAUCACAAGGCAGCCUGUCAACGUUGAGCAGGAAUGGCCCCAAGUGCCAAAUGCAGAGGGCUAAACAUGUAAACCGUCCAAUCCUGGGAGUCGGGCGCAGCAAGGUGUAACAAGACUUCAAUGACAACUGGACAUCCGCUGGGUACACCCUGAUAGCCUUUCAAAGGAAGCAAGAUUGGGGAAAGAAUCUACUCCCACUACCAAAAACCGAAGCUGUUCGAUGGAAAAUGACCACAAGGAAAAACCCUUAAAAUAAGCAGAGGAGGAUCGUCUUCUUCCAAGGUACGACUCUUCUUCAAUUUUUACGUCAGAUGCUAACACAGUGAUACCUAGGUUGGACAGCCCCACAGAAUGGCUGAAGUGAUCAGAGUACUCAGGCACAAACAACAAAAGUGCAAGCAGCAAUCCAGCACCAUGUCUCCACCAUGCAGCCAAUGGAUCUACAAAUUCCCAGAGGAAAAGAAAGGGCUUAUUUGUUUGAAUUCCCUCCAACAGGCAAGAGCAACUCAUUUCCACGAAAAAACACUUAUGGCUCAUUUUUCCCCUCGAGUUUUGCUGGUAAGCACACAGAGAAAGCAGGCCUUAAAAUUUUGCGCCCAUUCCCUUUUUAUUUUUGUGACAUCAGGCACUAGAUGGAGAUAGUCUUACUGUUUUCAUUUCGAGAAUAGCCCAAAGACUUAAAAAUCAGUCACCGUUAUAGGAACCCCUCUGCCUCAAUUUCAGAGGACAGAGUGAAGAACUAGGCCACAGAAACAGCACCACACACAAAUUUAGGCCCAGAUUGCCAAGAAAUAUAAUCAAGACCAAAGACUACUUUCAUUUAAGAAACACAGACUCAUCAUAAAAUUUGGUGGGAUUGAAAUUCUGGAAUAAAAUGCAAAGGGAGCUUGAUUAUCCAAACCUCUUGUCCUUAAGGUUCAGACUAAAUGUCUAACCCAAUAAUAAAAAAAAUGUUUUUGUUUGAAAGAUUAGGAAGCUGAGGGAUUUGGGGAACUGGCACAGACAAGGAGAGGAGGCCAGCAUAGAUCAGCCAUAAAUGGUGGGGCAGGCUUGAGGGGCCAGGUGACCUACACCUGCUCCUACUCCUACCUUCUUGUGUACAUGUACUGAGUAAUGGUGUUGCAAUCAUGCUGCAGUCAUGCCUCAGAUUUCCACUCAUUGUCUGGGCUCAUGCCUAAAGACACUCCUUCCACAAAGGCAACUUAUGGCUACGGAAAUAUCCCAAACAAGAACCUCUGCCAAAAGGAAACAGACUUGAACCAGACGUCAUCCAAGGAGAUGGUAUAAAAAGUUUAUUCCAUGCUGAUUGCAGAUUACAGAAGUUAUAUUUCAUAACUCAGUGUCUACUAGAUGUGACUCAAGGAGUGGCAAUCCUUCAUUUUUAUUUAUUUGAAUUGAAACCCACUCAUUUCCAUCAUUCCAUGUGGAAAAUAUUUUCAGAUGAGUUUUGCAAUAUUUAA
Molecule: long non-coding RNA, 1543 nt
Organism: Pristis pectinata (smalltooth sawfish)
Lineage: Eukaryota; Metazoa; Chordata; Chondrichthyes; Rhinopristiformes; Pristidae
Exons: 6
Source: RefSeq, a predicted model, not a curated record